GACGAACGCUGGCGGCGUGCUUAACACAUGCAAGUCGAGCGGUAAGGCCCUUUCGGGGGUACACGAGCGGCGAACGGGUGAGUAACACGUGGGUGACCUGCCCUCAGCUCUGGGAUAAGCCUGGGAAACUGGGUCUAAUACCGGAUAUGACUCCAUGACGCAUGUUGUGGGGUGGAAAGCCUUGUGCGGCUGAGGAUGGGCCCGCGGCCUAUCAGCUUGUUGGUGGGGUGANGGCCUACCAAGGCGACGACGGGUAGCCGGCCUGAGAGGGCGACCGGCCACACUGGGACUGAGACACGGCCCAGACUCCUACGGGAGGCAGCAGGUGGGGAAUCUUGCGCAAUGGGCGAAAGCCUGACGCAGCGACGCCGCGUGAGGGAUGACGGCCU
This 389-nucleotide ribosomal RNA is filed under the name uncultured bacterium. Its description in RNAcentral is "bacterial SSU rRNA". It matches the Rfam family "Bacterial small subunit ribosomal RNA", at positions 28 to 417 of the family's 1533-position model. The record is from RNAcentral.